AGUGAACGCUGGCGGUAGGCCUAACACAUGCAAGUCGAACGGCAGCACAGUAAGAGCUUGCUCUUACGGGUGGCGAGUGGCGGACGGGUGAGGAAUACAUCGGAAUCUACUUUUUCGCGGGGGAUAACGUAGGGAAACUUACGCUAAUACCGCAUACGACCUAUGGGUGAAAGCAGGGGAUCUUCGGACCUUGCGCGAUUGAAUGAGCCGAUGUCGGAUUAGCUAGUUGGCGGGGUAAAGGCCCACCAAGGCGACGAUCCGUAGCUGGUCUGAGAGGAUGAUCAGCCACACUGGAACUGAGACACGGUCCAGACUCCUACGGGAGGCAGCAGUGGGGAAUAUUGGACAAUGGGCGCAAGCCUGAUCCAGCCAUACCGCGUGGGUGAAGAAGGCCUUCGGGUUGUAAAGCCCUUUUGUUGGGAAAGAAAAGCAGCAGGUUAAUACCCCGCUGUUCUGACGGUACCCAAAGAAUAAGCACCGGCUAACUUCGUG
This 492-nucleotide ribosomal RNA is filed under the name uncultured bacterium. Its description in RNAcentral is "partial 16S ribosomal RNA". It matches the Rfam family "Bacterial small subunit ribosomal RNA", at positions 29 to 507 of the family's 1533-position model. The record is from RNAcentral.